This 616-nucleotide ribosomal RNA is filed under the name Lactobacillus casei group sp. RNAcentral describes it as "bacterial SSU rRNA". It matches the Rfam family "Bacterial small subunit ribosomal RNA", at positions 67 to 656 of the family's 1533-position model. The record is from RNAcentral. Lineage: Bacteria; Bacillati; Bacillota; Bacilli; Lactobacillales; Lactobacillaceae.
UUGAUGAUCGGUGCUUGCACCGAGAUUCAACAUGGAACGAGUGGCGGACGGGUGAGUAACACGUGGGUAACCUGCCCUUAAGUGGGGGAUAACAUUUGGAAACAGAUGCUAAUACCGCAUAGAUCCAAGAACCGCAUGGUUCUUGGCUGAAAGAUGGCGUAAGCUAUCGCUUUUGGAUGGACCCGCGGCGUAUUAGCUAGUUGGUGAGGUAAUGGCUCACCAAGGCGAUGAUACGUAGCCGAACUGAGAGGUUGAUCGGCCACAUUGGGACUGAGACACGGCCCAAUACUCCUACGGGAGGCAGCAGUAGGGAAUCUUCCACAAUGGACGCAAGUCUGAUGGAGCAACGCCGCGUGAGUGAAGAAGGCUUUCGGGUCGUAAAACUCUGUUGUUGGAGAAGAAUGGUCGGCAGAGUAACUGUUGUCGGCGUGACGGUAUCCAACCAGAAAGCCACGGCUAACUACGUGCCAGCAGCCGCGGUAAUACGUAGGUGGCAAGCGUUAUCCGGAUUUAUUGGGCGUAAAGCGAGCGCAGGCGGUUUUUUAAGUCUGAUGUGAAAGCCCUCGGCUUAACCGAGGAAGCGCAUCGGAAACUGGGAAACUUGAGUGCAGAAGAG